AUCAGAGGCUGGAAGGAGAAGAAACUCUCCUUUGGAGGAAGAGAAGUGUUGCUGAAGGCUGUCAUUCAAGCUAUUCCUUCUUACGCUAUGCAAGUCUUUAAGCUACCAAAACAGAUUUGUAAUGCAAUAACAACUGCUAUGUCACAGUACUGGUGGGGAGAUGAGGAUGACAAGAAGCAUAUGCACUGGUUUGCGUGGUGGAAAAUGUGUGUGCCAAAGAGCAAUGGAGGUAUGUGUUUUAGAGACGUACACUGCUUCAACCUGGCGCUCCUAGCAAAGCAAUGCUGGAGACUGUUAGCAGAACCGGAGUCUUUAUGUGCCAGAGUAUUGAGGGCAAAGUAUUUCCCGGAUGGUGAUUUGUUAAAUUGUCCUCUCAAGAAAGGCAGCUCUUACACAUGGCAAAGCCUAUGGAGUGGUAUUCAGACUUUCAAAAAAGGUUAUAUAUGGAGAGUGGGAGAUGGUACUCAAAUAAGUAUUUGGAGUGAUCCAUGGAUACCUACCAGCCCAAACAGAAAGGUAAUGACUCCACGAGGUAAUAUCUUACCUACAAAAGUUUCUCAACUUAUGGAUGAAGAGAAUGGAUGCUGGGAUGAGCAACUUAUUAGAUAUCUAUUCUGGCCAAUUGAUGCAAACCGUAUUUUGAAUAUACCCUUGGCUACGGGGAUGAUGGAAGAUUUUGUUUCAUGGCACUACAACAAAUCUGGAAUUUUCUCGGUC
RNAcentral lists this ribosomal RNA (717 nucleotides) under Triticum aestivum (bread wheat). Its description in RNAcentral is "partial small subunit ribosomal RNA". The record is from RNAcentral. Lineage: Eukaryota; Viridiplantae; Streptophyta; Magnoliopsida; Poales; Poaceae.